GAUCUCACACAGCACGUUCACGUGGCAAAGAAAUGGGUCCCCCUCCCCCACCCCUUCUCUCUCCUCUCGUUUUGUUCGGGAAAAUUGAAAUUUUUUGUAUAUUUUGAUACUAGAGCCACAAACAAUUUUGCUCCCAAAUUUUCCCCAAAACCCAUUUCUGCUCCACGCACCAGCAGGUCCAGCACCCACCGGCCACCGCCACCAACAACUGCCGAUCAUCCGAGACGCUUUCAACCGCCAUCGACCAUAAGUUUCAGCACCGUCUCAGCACCAUCCACCGCAAGUGUCAGCCGGUCCGAUGCCCAUUCCCGGCCACACCACUUACAACGGUCCACGCCACCAUAGCCGCCGUCCCUCCGUCGCAUGCCUCUCGCCGUAACAAGAAAUUGGUCAGAUGCAAGGAGAUGGGCGAAGGCCGAAGAAGUGAUGAAGUCCAUAAAAACUAUAAUUCCAGCUAUGGUAUGGAUUGGAAGUUUGGAACAAGAUGAAUCCUAAAAUAUAGAAGGGGCCUCAUUUAAAUCGAACUAUUGCUUGAGUUUUGUACUCCCAUGAGGAUUUUAAGAACUUGGAUUUUGUGGUCAGUUUGAUUGCAAUGCUACACUAAUUCAGAUUUAUUGGAAAUUUGCUUGUAAUUUGAUAUUUGCUUUUGUGUGCAUUAAGCAACCAAUUGGAAUUUAUGUCAAGCAGAGAUUUUUCUUAUUUC
Rhododendron vialii is the source of this 703-nucleotide long non-coding RNA. RefSeq lists it as uncharacterized. The transcript is spliced from 2 exons. The record is from RefSeq and is a predicted model, not a curated record. Lineage: Eukaryota; Viridiplantae; Streptophyta; Magnoliopsida; Ericales; Ericaceae.